This 494-nucleotide ribosomal RNA is filed under the name uncultured bacterium. RNAcentral's name for it is "partial 16S ribosomal RNA". It matches the Rfam family "Bacterial small subunit ribosomal RNA", at positions 28 to 507 of the family's 1533-position model. The record is from RNAcentral.
GACGAACGCUGGCGGCGUGCUUAACACAUGCAAGUCGAACGGUGAAGCGCCUUCCUUUUUGGUGGGUGUGGAUGAGUGGCGAACGGGUGAGUAACACGUGAGUAACCUGCCCCCUUCUUCUGGAUAACCGCAUGAAAGUGUGGCUAAUACGGGAUAUUCUGGGUCUGUCGCAUGAUGGGUCUGGGAAAGAUAUUGUUUCGGUGGGGGAUGGGCUCGCGGCCUAUCAGCUUGUUGGUGGGGUGAUGGCCUACCAAGGCGGUGACGGGUAGCCGGCCUGAGAGGGUGGACGGUCACACUGGGACUGAGACACGGCCCAGACUCCUACGGGAGGCAGCAGUGGGGAAUAUUGCACAAUGGGCGCAAGCCUGAUGCAACGACGCCGCGUGAGGGAUGGAGGCCUUCGGGUUGUGAACCUCUUUCGCCAGUGAAGCAGGCCUGCCUCGUUUGUGGGUGGGUUGACGGUAGCUGGAUAAGAAGCGCCGGCUAACUACGUG